UAUGGAGAUGUACAUUGGAGAUGUUUUUAUAUAUGCAUAUAUUGGAGGAAAUCCAUCUCCGUAAUAAAAAUUUUCUAUUUUAAGGAAAAUAUAAAGAUGAAAAUGGAUGGGGGUGGAGAUGGUCUUGGUGGAAUAAAUAAAUGCCCAAACAAAAUUAAAUGAAAUAGGUACUCUGUGUAGUCUUCUAAUCAAUUAAAAUUGCAUGUUAUUACAUUAGGUUUGAAAUACGCUGUGUGUUAGAGCAGGUCCAUUGGAGUCUUUUAGAGGGGGGUUCUAAAAAAAAAAUCAAAAAAAUAAAUGAAAAAAUAGAAAAAACCAAAGGACCGGUGCUAAACAAAGGGGUUUUGGAACCACUAAAAAGCCCGUACGUGCCCUCUCGGUAUUGGUCGUCUCUCUCUUUCUCGAUGGUUUUUUUUUUUUUUGUCUCCGAGAAAUCUCGUCGUUGCUCUCCUUCUCCAAAUCCUUCCAUGAAAUCACCUUGAAGGUUCGAAUUCUUUGAGUUUUUGUAUUGGUUUAAUCUUGUGAAUCUCGUUGGAAUUGAAAUUUGGUUUUGGUGAUGCGAUUUGAGAAUGAGAUUUGAGAUUAGCUUUGAUGAUGGGAACUAAAUCACAUGGCGAUCUUCAGGAAGUCCGUUGAAGGCUGCUGUUUUGAUUAACUACGACCCGACAUCACCUUCUCGUCUCUUAUCAACAAUGAGGGAGACAAUGGAGGAAACAAUGGCGGCUAGGUUCUGGUGCCUUUGCUUCAUGAGGAUGCCACACCUCCUUCAAUGCCUCCUUCCACCAAAUCAUUGCUAUGCGUGGUCUCGGUAUGUGGAUGAAUCAGAUAGAGAUCUGAUGAACGACUCUUUUUUCCAUCACUUAAGCAGAAAGAGGAGCAGCACUCAAGAGAGACUUGGCUGGUGAAACAAAAGCAACACGCCUCCGUUCUCCACUUUAGAGUACUUCUUGUACACAGCACGUAGCCUGCUCUCUCCACACCUAGAGUGAUGUAAAGCUAGGAGCUUUGAGCAUUUCCUAUUAACACACAAUGAAGAACAAAACUUAUCAGUUUUUGCAAUUAAGAAACAAGAACAGAAAUAGAUAUUUGCAAGUCUUCUCUGUUCUUACAUAAUCUUAGAUUCUGCAUAUCCUGUGUGAAACUUUCAAGGUCUCCGUCCAAGCUGGUGACUUGUUCAGUGAGCAUCUCGCUGUGUAGACAGCUGAAGCAGCAAGCAUGGAGGGACAGAACUUCAAGGUAAUGUUCUUCUUUGCAUUAGUUGGCAAUAUGACUUAUGUAGGAAGGUAAAGAUCGAUUAUCUUUACUUGUUUUGUGUCUAAAGAUUCUCUAGUAGCUUUCUUGAAAUUUUUUAUGAAAUCCAAUAAUUUUAACUUCUAAAACUUUUUUAAAUU
This is a long non-coding RNA of Brassica napus (rape), 1391 nucleotides long. RefSeq lists it as uncharacterized. NCBI's taxonomy places the organism in Eukaryota, Viridiplantae, Streptophyta, Magnoliopsida, Brassicales, Brassicaceae. The record is from RefSeq and is a predicted model, not a curated record. The transcript has 4 exons.